This 445-nucleotide ribosomal RNA is filed under the name uncultured bacterium. Its description in RNAcentral is "partial 16S ribosomal RNA". It matches the Rfam family "Bacterial small subunit ribosomal RNA", at positions 354 to 796 of the family's 1533-position model. The record is from RNAcentral.
GUGAGGAAUAUUGCGCAAUGGAGGCAACUCUGACGCAGCCAUGCCGCGUGCAGGAAGAAGGCGCUACGCGUUGUAAACUGCUUUUAACCGGGAAGAAACCCCAGGACGUGUACUGGGUUGACGGUACCGGAGGAAUAAGCACCGGCUAACUUCGUGCCAGCAGCCGCGGUAAUACGAAGGGUGCAAGCGUUAUCCGGAUUCAUUGGGUUUAAAGGGUGCGUAGGCGGAGCGUUAAGUCAGUGGUGAAAUCCUGCAGCUUAACUGUAGACUUGCCAUUGAUACUGGCGCUCUUGAGUGCGCUUGAAGUGGGCGGAAUGUGCCGUGUAGCGGUGAAAUGCUCAGAUAUGGCACAGAACACCAAUUGCGAAGGCAGCUCACUAAGGCGAUACUGACGCUGAGGCACGAAAGCGUGGGGAUCGAACAGGAUUAGAAACCCGUGUAGUCC